AUCAUUGCAGCCAGCGCAGUCCUCCAUGGGAGGCCUCAGAGCAUGAUUACAGAGUGACUGCACGAUCGCGUGGCCCCGGUCCGUCUCCCCCACGAGUUGGUGUGCCCGAGACAGCAGGUUGUUCAUCGAGACCUGAAGCCGAGUAACAUCCUCUACAGGGAUGAGUCGGGGAGCCCAGAAUCCAUCCGAGUCUGCGACUUCGGCUUUGCCAAGCAGCUGCGCGCGGGGAACGGGCUGCUCAUGACGCCCUGCUACACAGCCAAUUUCGUGGCCCCGGAGGUCCUGAAGCGUCAAGGCUAUGAUGCGGCGUGUGACAUCUGGAGUUUGGGAAUCCUGUUGUACACCAUGCUGGCAGGAUUUACCCCUUUUGCAAAUGGGCCAGACGACACCCCUGAGGAGAUUUUGGUGCGGAUCGGCAGUGGGAAGUAUGCCCUUUCUGGGGGAAACUGGGACUCGAUAUCUGACGCAGCCAAAGACGUCGUGUCCAAGAUGCUCCACGUGGACCCUCAUCAGCGCCUGACGGCGAUGCAGGUGCUCAAACACCCGUGGGUGGUCAACAGAGAGUACCUGUCCCCAAACCAGCUCAGCCGACAGGACGUGCACCUGGUGAAGGGCGCGAUGGCCGCCACCUACUUUGCUCUAAACAGAACACCUCAGGCCCCGCGGCUGGAGCCCGUGCUGUCGUCCAACCUGGCUCAGCGCAGAGGCAUGAAGAGACUCACGUCCACGCGGUUGUAGCGGGUGGGACCCUGGCCCCAGCGUCCCCUGCCAGCAUCCUCUUGGGCUCACAGACCCCGGCCUCGGAGCCCGUCUGGCGCCCAGAGUGACCACAAGUUCCCCAGGGAGGCGGCGGCGCCCGCCCUCGCCGUGUCCAUGUUUUCUUUUUCAGCCCCGGAGAGGGUCCUGACCUGGGGGCUUCUCCAAGCCUCACUGCGCCAGCCUCCCCGCCCGCUCUCUUUUCUCCCAAGCAAAACCAAAUGCGCCCCUUCACCUCGCGUGCCCGUGCGAGGCCAGGGGUUUCUUUCAGAGCCCGCGGGUCUUCUCAUAUCACGGCUUCUGUUUCUGCCGAGAGAUCUGUUUUCCAAUUAUGAAGGCGGUCGGUUUGGUCAGACUCCCGACGCCGACGUCCCGGGUACCCGGUGGGAAAGUGGCAGUGCGAGGGCGCAGCCGUUGGUGGUUGCAGGGCCCCAGAGGGCUGGGGUGACCUG
RNAcentral lists this small RNA (1208 nucleotides) under Pongo abelii (Sumatran orangutan). Its description in RNAcentral is "processed transcript". Lineage: Eukaryota; Metazoa; Chordata; Mammalia; Primates; Hominidae. The record is from RNAcentral.